Acanthopagrus latus (yellowfin seabream) is the source of this 676-nucleotide long non-coding RNA. RefSeq lists it as uncharacterized. The record is from RefSeq and is a predicted model, not a curated record. The transcript is spliced from 3 exons. NCBI's taxonomy places the organism in Eukaryota, Metazoa, Chordata, Actinopteri, Spariformes, Sparidae.
GGGGGGGAACCAUAGUUCAUCAUCAGUAUUCAUUAGUCAUAAACCAUAGAAGAGUCAGUCAUAAACUUGUGUAAUCUUGCUAUUCUUCAUGAAGAACAACACAAGGGAGCCUCGUGAAGGAGGAUUCUAAAGUGUCCAGUUGUAUUCUUAUCUAUAUUCUGAAGGUAAGUGUGGAACUAUGGAAACUCAACACUGCAACAGAAAAAGAACCCAGCUGAUGGAUGAGGCAAAGGAGGUGAAGAGCGAGAGUGAUAGGAACUGAGAGUAAACAGGAGUGAAUGGACGGGCAUUCACUAGAUGGAGAGCGCUCUAGUGUUGUGUCAAAGUCUGCUCCUUCGCCGUUUCUUCUUACCAGCAGGACUUGAGACGUUUCAAAUCCAGCAUUCUUUCUGCUCGAUCAUCAACUCAGGUUCGGUGUCAGAGAGGGUCGGCUCAGAGAGAAACAUAAGCUCCCCCGAAGAACUGACGGCAGCAGACACCUUGUAGAAGUCAGGAAGGAGAAAAAAAUGAAGACAGAACUUCUCUAUGAGAAGACAGGAGAGGAAUCAUACCUCACAGAUAUUGACAUGACAAAGUCUCAACCGCAGAUGAUCUUCCUGAGGUGACUUGAGGUAAUGCAUGCAUGCACAAAAGAUGCUGGGUAUUAUGUACAAUAAAAACAUAAUUGGGAACAAGA